RNAcentral lists this ribosomal RNA (419 nucleotides) under uncultured bacterium. RNAcentral describes it as "bacterial SSU rRNA". It matches the Rfam family "Bacterial small subunit ribosomal RNA", at positions 87 to 518 of the family's 1533-position model. The record is from RNAcentral.
UAAUUCGAGUGGCGACGGGUGAGUAACGCGUGAACAAUCUGUCCCAGACAGGGGGAUAACACUUGGAAACAGGUGCUAAUACCGCAUAAGACCACAGAAUCGCAUGGGUACAGGGGUAAAAGGAGCAAUCCGGUUUGGGGUGAGUUCGCGUCCGAUUAGCCAGUUGGGGGGUAACGGCCCACCAAAGCGACGAUCGGUAGCCGACCUGAGAGGGUGAUCGGCCACAUUGGAACUGAGAGACGGUCCAAACUCCUACGGGAGGCAGCAGUGGGGAAUAUUGGGCAAUGGGCGAAAGACCCUGACCCAGCAACGCCGCGUGAGUGAAGAAGGCCUUCGGGUUGUAAAGCUCUGUUAUAGGGGACGAAGGAAGUGACGGUACCCUAUAAGGAAGCCCCGGCUAACUACGUGCCAGCCGCAGC